This 318-nucleotide ribosomal RNA is filed under the name uncultured bacterium. RNAcentral describes it as "bacterial SSU rRNA". It matches the Rfam family "Bacterial small subunit ribosomal RNA", at positions 28 to 335 of the family's 1533-position model. The record is from RNAcentral.
GAUGAACGCUGGCGGCGUGCCUAAUACAUGCAAGUCGAACGCACAGCGAAAGGUGCUUGCACCUUUCAAGUGAGUGGCGAACGGGUGAGUAACACGUGGACAACCUGCCUCAAGGCUGGGGAUAACAUUUGGAAACAGAUGCUAAUACCGAAUAAAACUUAGUGUCGCAUGACACAAAGUUAAAAGGCGCUUCGGCGUCACCUAGAGAUGGAUCCGCGGUGCAUUAGUUAGUUGGUGGGUUAAAGGCCUACCAAGACAAUGAUGCAUAGCCGAGUUGAGAGACUGAUCGGCCACAUUGGGACUGAGACACGGCCCAAA